This is a long non-coding RNA of Symphalangus syndactylus (siamang), 1819 nucleotides long. RefSeq lists it as uncharacterized. The record is from RefSeq and is a predicted model, not a curated record. Lineage: Eukaryota; Metazoa; Chordata; Mammalia; Primates; Hylobatidae.
AAGGGGACGCAGCCAGGCCUUCCGGGCCUCCCCGAGUCCCGCGUUCCUUACGUGAGGGGGACGCAGCCAGGCCUUCCGGGCCUUCCCGAGUACCGCGUUCCUUACGUGAGGGGGGCGUAGCUGGGCCUCCCCGAGUCCCGCGGUCCUUACUGGUUAACUGCAGUUCCGCAUUGUUACGUUUUCAUUUUUUGAAGCCAAGAAAGCGUGCACGCCACAAAAGAAAUAUGGACCUCAGUGAACAGAUAAUAGGGAGAAUCUCAUGCACCCAUCCUGGAAUUACGUUUUUAGCUUUGCCCCCAUCACUACCAUUGGAAGGAAGCAGCUUCUGUGAGAGGCAUUUGUAAAGUCUCCACGUCUCCCCAAGAAGUCACGUUCUGCAGACCCAUCAACCAUCCCGUGUCCCGCCACUCCCUCUGGAUGCUGCUUUCUAGCUUCCCUCUCUGAAAAGAAGUCUCAUUAUGAAAACAUGCAGCAGAAUAUCUUAAACCUCCUGAAGCAGUAGAGUGUCUGUCACUCCAGGAAACUGACACUUGUCUGGCUGCUCAAGAAGUUUCCUAGCUGGCUGUGAGACCUUCCCCCCUCAUCAGAUCCUUUCAUUAACCCUGCACCAACAACUCUAAAGCCAAGAACCUUCAAGAACAACUUUAAGAACAACUCUAAAGACCAACUUUAAGCCAAGAACCAAGUUGAUGGCUUAAAAAUUGGAUAAAUGUAUACUGUCAAAUGAAGUUAUUAUUGUCACUUUACUAAUAUGGAAUGCUAAGGAUAAAUGCUAGAAAGAGUCUUGGACAACAUCUACUCCAGUGAAUGAUCUUCAAACUUAACUACCUGAUGUAGUCACUUGUGGAUUAGAGAAGGAAGUGGCUCUGCUUUUGCAAAGACAAACAAUCUCAUUUCAGAAUAAUCCCCCUGCUGAUAAUAAUUAGAAAUGCUAAGACUCUACACAACCCAUUUGAAGGCAUUGGGAAUCAGUCAUGAUGUGUGCAGUCAACAUUGCAUGCAGAGAGAAAUCCAGAGGGUAAGACCUAGGUUUAGCACAUCUUUCCUGCUUACAGCAUUUAUUGAUACCAAAGAGUCUCAUGAUGAUCUGAGUAUCUGAACAGAAGGUUUGUGAAAAUUGCAUCAUGCAGGGCAUAAGCUUAAGAUUCAUGGCCUCCUGAGAGGGAAGCUCCUUGGUAAACACCACAGGCUUCCAGUUGGGAUCCCAUAGGAUUACAUGCUAGGAAGAAGGAUAGACUGAAAAUAACUCAGCUCUCACAGGUAAUAAACCAUGGCUUUGAAUAAUCAAUUCAUGAUUGGAUUGAGGUGUUUUUCUGUGAUUUAGAUGCCUAGAAGCAGCAAAUCUUUUCUGCAAGAAGAUAAUAUAAUACAGAGGCUGAGAGUAAGUCUACAAUCUUUCAUCCACAAUGUCUGAAAUUCAAGCAAAAUGAAACAAGGAGAAUGACAUGAUAGAUUAGACCAAACCUCAGGAGAAAAUAACAACCAAUAGAAACAAAUACAUUGAGACUCAUAGAAAUUUAAAUUCAUUAUGAUGAAAAUGCUAACACGUUUAACAAGAAGUUAAAUUUCAGGAGAUAAAUAAAACUUAUCUUAAAAACCAAGUGAAAAUUUUAGAAUUAAAAACUAUAAUAAUUGAAGUUAGGAUCUCAGUUGAUGAGAUUAACAACAGAAUAUGACAGGCCAAAGAGAGAAUUAGUGAACUGGAAAAUGGGCUAGGAGAAAAUAUCAAUAUUAAUAUAGAGAGAGAUAAAAUGGUAGAAAAUACAUAAAAGAAUAUAAGAUAUAUAUAAGACACAGUGUAAAACCCUAUCACAUGUAA